Molecule: long non-coding RNA, 719 nt
Filed under: Chrysolophus pictus (golden pheasant)
Lineage: Eukaryota; Metazoa; Chordata; Aves; Galliformes; Phasianidae
Description: lncRNA (ENSCPIG00010014849.1)
Source: RNAcentral
AAGACCUCGCUCUUAAGGAUUUUUUUCCCUUCUUAUUGAACAUGUCAUUUUUCUUUCAUUUUUCAGGACAGUUGCUUGCAGCCUCUAGACGUCCCUGCUGCCUCAAAAUGGGCUCAAGGCGAGUCUCUCCACACUAUCAGCCCUCUCCUGCCAUAUUUUGAACUUUGGAGUGUGCACAAGGAUGGAAAAAUACAGAAGGAUGGAAAAAUACAAGGAGUGGUGGGACACGAUGCAAAGUGAGUCUGAGCUGCCCUUAACUUCAGCCUUUGCACCCUGCCAAUACACCUGGAAGAUGCAGCUCAUUCCACCAGGAAUGCUGAUAUUGCAAACACCUAUUUAAACACAGCAGUGGUGGAGGUAACCUCGCUUGCCUGGGCACAAGGUUUGAUCGUCUUUUAUGAAUACUGCACCGCUGUUUUAAGAAAAGACAAAUACAAGGAGGGGAAAAAACAGAACCUCUGCGAUUCUUCCCUACGAAGUAUUAUAGGUGAAGGCUGUGGAGAAUCGUGGGUUUCCCCAGUUCAGAGUUGAACCUCCCACCAAUUGUGUGACCUUCGGGCUAUGGGUAUUGAUGAAGGUAUACAGCCACAAUCUCAGAUUAUGUUGUACCUGCACCUUCACUUCUGCCAGUACUACUUGCUGCACUCAUCCAGCUGCAAAGAGACUCUACUGGAGGAAAGAUUGCACCCAAGGACCUCCAUCCAAUGCCAGGUGGGAGG